AAGAGCAUUAGCAUUUAGCUGCACGACGUCGUUCUGCGGUGGUGGCCGAGUAUCAAAGAAAGCGUUUCGCAUGGUCCCAAUAGGUUCGCAUUUCUUUUUCACUUCAAAGCCCAAUUGAUGUUGUUGUACUCGAUCAGGCAGAAUGUAUUUGCGAAAACUGAGGAAAUAAAUCCUCAAAAUCUAUUCUGCUGGUGAAAUCGUCUUUGAAGCAGUUGCGAAGCUUGCUGAGGGGAUCAAUGGUGCUGAUCUUCGUAAUGUUUUCACUGAAGCUGGUUUGUUCGCCAUUCGGGCACAACGUGAUUAUGUGAUUGAUGGAGAUUUCGUGAAGGUAAUGUGUUCCCAAUUUGAUAACGGAAUUUUUGGGGGGAAGGGCAUGCACUUAUUAUAAAUUCUUAAUUGCCUUGGCCUUUUGUGUUUCUGAUCCUUCUGGCUGUGCGCAAAUUGAAUGAAACAAAGAAACUGGAAUCAAGCGCCCAUUAUAAUGUAAAUUUCAGGAUAUAAAAUCAAAUUGUUGUUAGCACUUGGCACAGAUGUUUGUCUGGUUGCAACACAAAGGACUACUGCACCCUUCAUUGUUUGACUUCUUCUAGCCAGUUUUCAAAUGCUUUGCAGGUUAAUGCAUUUCUGAUAUCACAUUCAUUACAUUUUCUUUUCCUUUUUAAAUUUGUAAGACAAAAGAAGGACAUCACCGUUCAUCGUAUAAAAAAGUUGUACCGCAAGUUCAAUUUCUCGCUACCCAAUAUGCUUUUGGUGAAUGGAAGAAAGUUUAGAUUUAAUUGGAAGAUGUACUUUACCGUUUGCGAUGAAUGAAAUACUACCAUCCUUCACUUCUGAUGUCUGCUCAGAUUGUUAUUGUCCAGUGAAAAAAUAAAUCAUCAAUUAAAAAGAAUAUACGUCUGACUUAAGGUGGAAACAAUGUUCAUAACAAUUCGUUUGAAAAUUUGAAGGAUUAAAGUCAAUUAGAUGAUGGCUCAACACUCACGGAAAAAAAUUGCAGGUAGAAUAAAUUCGAGGUACCGUACUUUGUCUACUAAUCUUAUACUUUUCUAAUAAUAUUAAUUUGUCCAUAACUCAAUUAUAAAACUGGAUUAUUUUGGCCUUCAGCACUUACUUUAUAUUAAUUCGAUCAAUCUAUCUUAAAACAGGUUGGCAGCAUCAUUAACUUAUACGAAACGAUCAUAUUACAAUAACAUGGAAUUCUAACUCCUUUGAUAAAUUUGAAAAUGAGUGGAAGACGUGACUUCCUUAAAUUUUGAAAAACUUCUGGUUAGAGUUUUCAAAUUUAUUUAUAGAGUUUAUUUUGAAUUUGGAACUUGUUACAAGGUGUUGAAGAGUUCGUGACCAACCAAUAGAGAAAGAGGUUAAUUUCUGCAGGAACUUAUUCAAGAUUCUGAGUACAUGGUUUUCAACUUAAAUGCCAGAAAAUGGUACGGUAAUACAUGUCCUUAGGAACAUCUGAAUCAAGACCAUUUGCAGAGAAGAUUAUUUGCACUGAAGAUUAAUUCAAGCUAUCACUUCCACUGCAAUGAAUCUAGAGCUUGUUGAUGAAUCUGUUUGUCACCAGCAGCCACAACAUUAAAACCUGCCACAUGCAAAUAAGACAAAGCUUCAAAGGAGCGAUAUUCGAUAAGUGACCAAAACUUUUGGGUCUCAUUUUAUUCAAGGUGGCAAGAAGACCAAGAAAGCAAUUAAGAAUGAAAUUCAAACUAGGGCUAAGGAGAGAUACAUACUUGUGGCGAUUGAAAGUGGAGAAGCUUCCCAAAACAGUUUAUCUCCUUUCCAAUCAGUUAUGACACCUCCAGCGCCUUCAAUAACAGGAAUCAAUGCAAGAAAAUCGUAUGGCUGAAAUACAAUAUUUAACAAACAAAUAUUGUUUUAAUCAUCUUGGGGUACGUUUUGCUCUACACUGGGCAAAAGUUUCUAAAGUUAAACAUGCAACCAAAGGUGAGAGUGCAGCAUACCUUCAGACCAGACUCAACAACAAGAUCCACAAAACCAGAAGACAAAAGUGCAUAUGCAUAGCAGUCGCAGCCAUACAAUGGAAUUUUAACCUGUAAAGGUGCAAAAAGGAAUAACUGUAAAUAUAGAUAUACAUAUUUUUGGGAACAGAAAAAUUUUCAUUUUGGCAAUAAUGUAGCAUUGAUAGAGACAUAACUAAGCAGAAGACAAAGUGCAGUGUGACAUUUUGGAUUCAUAUUCUCUGAUACUUCAGUAGUUCAGAAGGGUUGACAUUGUAAUGGUCAAAAAGGUGUUGUAAAUAAUAUGUAAUUAUGCAUAGAUUUUAGGAUCAAAUUGACCAGGAGAGGUGAAUUCAGUAAUACAAUAAUAGAUUUCGAGCGCCAGAAAAUAAUAUUCCAAAGCUUUAGUGUGUUCUCCGUUACUUGUAUGGAUAAGGCCUAUGUUAUAAAG
Molecule: long non-coding RNA, 2409 nt
Organism: Glycine soja
Lineage: Eukaryota; Viridiplantae; Streptophyta; Magnoliopsida; Fabales; Fabaceae
Exons: 2
Source: RefSeq, a predicted model, not a curated record